Molecule: transfer RNA, 80 nt
Filed under: Enhygromyxa salina
Lineage: Bacteria; Pseudomonadati; Myxococcota; Nannocystales; Nannocystaceae
Description: tRNA-Phe
Source: RNAcentral
GGUCGAGGCGCGCGGCGUCGCUGUCGUCGUCCUCGGCUGAAGCCCGGGGCGGCUCGGGUUCGGAGCUCGGCUUCGGCUUC